Long non-coding RNA from Ruditapes philippinarum (Manila clam), 4978 nucleotides. RefSeq lists it as uncharacterized. Lineage: Eukaryota; Metazoa; Mollusca; Bivalvia; Venerida; Veneridae. The transcript has 2 exons. The record is from RefSeq and is a predicted model, not a curated record.
UGGCCCUUGAUUAGUUAUGCAAUAUGCAUAUGGAGUAAAAAUCAUUUCCGGAGUAGUUCUCUGCAACUACUGGCUGGAAUUCAACGAAACUUUAUGGGAAUCAUCAAUAUCAAGAGGAGAUGCGCAUAUCAUCGGCUUGUUCCGGUCAGACACUUUAACUCAGAGUUAUGGCCCUUGAUUAGUUAUGCAGUAUCCAUAUAGAAAAAUAUUUGUUUCCUUGCUACUUCUCUGCUACCUCCGGCUGGAAUUCAAUGAAACUUUAUGGGAUACUAAGAGGAGAUGUGCAUAUAGUCGCCUUGUUCCAGUCAGAUACUUAUAACUCAGAUUUAUGGCCCUUGAUUAGUUAUGUAGUAUGCAUACAUCUCAUUGGCAUUUCCAGAUUUUACUAUUUAACACAAAGUUAUGGCUCUGUUAUUUCCCUGAAUAUUUAUCAAGUUCAAAGAAUAUUACUGUUUAUGCCAUGAUUAAUAUAUAAAUAAAGCCUUAUGUCUUCAGUUGUUGUGUUAAUAAUAACCAGUACUCGGCGGGGGAUAUAAAUUCAACAAAUUUGCUUGUUAGUACAAGAUUUAUGACAUAAGCUCAUGUAUCCUGAUAAAAUAACUAGAAUAUUUACAGGAUAAAAGGCAUUUCCUAAUAAAGAGAUUGCAAAAAGGUUUUUUUCUUAAAAAUCUGUCUCGUCAUUUUAAUUCAUGUUCUUAAGUCUUUGACUAUUUGCAACAGCAACUUUUUGCAAAAUAACAUCAGCAGAACUUGCUUUGAGCAUCUAACUGUAAACAACAAAAAGAGAACAUUAGAGUUAAUUCCAUAACAAUAGAGUAAGGGGCCAUUGGCCCUUUAUUAAACAGAAGAAAAUAACAAAAGAAAUGGCCAAUUAUUCCAUUUUGGUUGGACGUCUGUUUGUAUAUUUACUUAUGAGUUCUGUCAGUUUAUUUUUAAACCCUUUAUAAUCAUGUGAAUUUUAAAUUAUCUCUAAUUAACUAAUAAACAUUUGAGCCGCGUCAUGACAAAACCAACAUAGUGCAUUUGCGACCAGCAUGGAUCCAGAUAAGCCUGCGCAAUCGCGCAGUCUGAUCAGGAUCCAUGCUGUUCGCUUACCAACUCUUUUACAAGUAGAGAAUCUGAUAGCCAACAGCAUGGAUCCUGAUCAGAAUUUGCGGAUGCGCAGGCUGGUCUGGGUCCAUGCUGGUUGCAAACGCACUUUGUUGGUUUUGUCAUGACGCGGCUCAUUUGAUGUAUUUCAGAUAUGCAAUUACUGUGUGGUACUAUGAUGAACAAGAAAGAAGAAGGGCGGUGAAAAAAUUCAGAAGGAGCGGAACUAUGGAUGCUAAAGAAAAGGGUAUGAUACCACUCAAUGGAAUGAAAGUAGAUCCGUGAUCAGCCAUGAAGCCAAAAACAUUAUCAGCUUUUAUGUUGAAUGCUACACCAUAGGCUCCGUGAAAGUCAAGCCAAGCUGUUAGCUUUGCAGUAUUAUAUAGAAUGUACUGGUAUAACAAAUAGAUGAUGAGAAAAUUUCAAAUUUAUCAUGAUUUAUAAACAUUGUUAUAUCACUAGUCUGAAGACAUUUUAUAGUUAAUGACAGUAUAUAUAAAACAGAUUUUAGAUAAAUGUGUUUAUUUACAAAUGUUAUGUAAAUAAUUGAGCCGCGUCACGACAAAACCAACAUAAUGCGUUUGCGACCAGCAUGGAUUCAGACCAGCCUGCGCAUCCGCGCAAUCUGAUCAGGAUCCAUGCUGUUCGCUACAAGUAGAGAAUCUGAUAGCAAACAGCAUGGAUCCUGAUCAAACUGCGUGAAUGUGCAGGCUGGUCUGGAUCCAUGCUGGUCGCAAACCCAAUAUGUUGGUUUUGUCAUGGCACAACUCAAAUGUUGUCUUUGAAUAAUAACUUCGCUUCACAUGUCGCUCAGUUUGGUGCUCUGCUUUGAAUUAGAGCCUGUCCAUAUGCAGUUUGAGGGAUGACACUUUCCAAAAUAAAAUAUUCAGCUGCCAGUGAUGAAGUUCUGUCAGACCUCAUGGAUGUGUACACUGACCUGGGUCAGUUGGUAGCUAAUGCUAUGGUCAAAAGUGGAAACCCUGAUAAUGGCCCCCAACAUAGCAAAAUUGAUAACGCUGCAUGCCCGACGUGAUUGUGCCUAUUCUUUGAUGGUAGUGGUUGGUGCAAGCUUUUAGAAACUUUAGUUAUCAUAUAAAACUUUGUGAAACCCUUGACAGUUGUUUUGUUAUGCAUUCCUAGUACACAAGAUUUGAACAUGCUUAAAAGCUGUGUCAUUUAAAGGGAGACCUAAAAUGUUUUAAGAAAACAAAAAGGCUUUCAAAUUUACAAUCUCUGAUAGUUGAUCUUCAUAAUGCAUAAUGAAAUUUAUUUAGUUGGUAUUAUUGCUUACUUAUGAAAACAAAGUCAUCCAAAUUUUGAGAAAAAAUAUUUUAGAUGUACGUGUUUUUAAGCACAGAGCACAACAUUUGCUUAAAAUUGUCAGGAAACCUCUGCAUGCAGUUGUAAUUUGAUUUAAUUUAGGAGAGUUGUUCAGAUAAAUUGAUUCACUUUGGUAAUCAAUACACUGCAUGCAUUCUCUUCUAUAAUGGUUAUUGUACAGUACUUGAGAUUUUUUUCUGGAGGUUUUUUUUUGUAAUUUUGAAGGAGAAUUUUAUUUACUUUUCAGAGAUUUUUUAUGGUCAUUUAUGUGCCACAGUGUUUCUCAUGUAAAAUAUUUUUUCAUGCAUUUUAUGUUAUAUACUAGCUGAUAUUCUGGAAAAAGGACUUGUUUAUGUUACACAUAUUGAAAUAAUUAUUUCUUUCAUUGUAUAAAUUAUUCAUUUUGACCAUUUGCAAGUAGAAAAAAAUGUGACUGCUUAAAAAAGUUUCAACAGCUUUAGUAAUAUAAUUUCUUUAUUUAAUAUACUGUUAAGGUAAAUUUGAACCAAUAUUUUUAUGGCAACUGUAAUAUAAUAUAUAUAUAGUCUUGUGUCAUGGCAGCUUUUGUAUGGAGUGUCCAUAGUUAAGUUUUUAUAUUGUUCUGCCAGGCAAGUAGAAUUAGUGAGAUAUUUAUGUUGAAUUAAUCAACAUAACAAAGUGCAAAAUAACCUUGUAAACCUGUAUACAUAUGAGCCGCGUCACGACAAAACCAACAUAGUGGGUUUGCAACCAGCAUGGAUCCAGACCAGCCUGUGCAUCCACACAGUCUGAUCAGGAUCCAUGCUGUUUGCUAUCAGAUUCUCUACUUGUAAUAGGGUUUGUAAGCGAACAGAAUGGAUCCUGAUCAGUCUGCGCAUCCGCACAGGCUGGUCUGGAUCCAUGCUGGUAGCAAACCCAUUAUGUUGGUUUUGUCAUGAUGCAGCUCAUUAUAAUGAUGUUGCUUGCUUCAGUGAAAACUUGCAUCUUAUAAAUACUGUUUAUAACUUCUCCCGGUGUUCUUAUAAAAUUGGCAUUACUGAUUUUGAUAUUUAAGAUAAGAGGUUCUUUGGUCACUGGCACUGUCAAAUGUUAUAUGCAAAGAAAUAGUAGUUUGUUAGAGUAAUAUUUGAAUCUUUUUUUAGUUUAGUUAUUGAUUGUUUAGAUAAGUGACUUUAUGUCUGUACAUGUCAAGAAUACAUUAUAUGGUAUGACAUAGACCUUUGUUUGGGUGGUUGAAGUCAGUAAUUUCUAAUACUUUGUCCCUUAGAGUCCCUCCUUGGUGUUUGAUCAUAUUAUGCCAAGAACAUGUCUGUUUUUGCUCGAUAUAGGGCUAUUGAAGGUGUUUUUUUUACAGUAAUGCCAGAGUAUGGCCAUAAAAAUGUCUUUGAGUGUCAUAAAAACUCAACGAAAACAAAGUCUUUGUACAUGAGGUACAUAUAACCAUUACAGUGAUUACGAUGAAAGUUAGAAAUCAUGUCAAGUGUUUGUUCUCCAUUAUUUAGAUUGUUAAAAUGCUGUAAAGUGCUUGUUCUAGUCUCUAAUUAAUGUGUUUAUAUUUAUAUCUGUAUUAAAGAAGUGUUCCAAUAUGAACCCGGAAAGAAAAUGUAGAAAUAUUGAAGUGUUUUAUUGACUUAAAGUUUUUGUGCUUACAGUUUAUCUUUACAUGAGUUUCUUUUUAACUAUUGUUCACUUAUACUAUUAUAGUGGAUACUUUAUUUUAUUAAAUAACUGUGAUUAAAAGUUUUCAAAAUAGAUGAGUCAUUGGAUCAUUUCAACUGUAAAUUUUAUGAUUUUCUCAAUGCCCUAUUAAAAACUAAGGGGAGUUUAUAAUUACAUGAUAACUAUAUAAUCCUUGAGUAACCUCAAGAGUUACCUCUCUUUAUGAAACAGAUCUUGAAGAAAAAUGAAGCUACUGUUUAUAAACGUGAAGCAUUCUUGUUGUCGCAGUAAAUGCCUUCAUUGUUGUAAAAUUUUGACAGAUCUUAUCUUAUUGUUAAGAAAUUGUUAUUUUAUAUUAAUUUUAAAAUUUAAUAAGGAGCUUAUUUCAUUUAAAUUGUUAUUGGCUAAAGUUAGUGACAUUUUAUAUAUUCUUGGUUGGUUUUUCUGUUCAUGAGUAUUUAUUUAUAGGAUCUGUGAUGAGUUAUGAGUUUUUAUUAACUUUUUAUGAAUUCAUUCAUUUCUGUUGUUUUGAAAUUCCUAUAAGUUAAUGUUAAAAUGAUUUAACAGCAGCUGAUAUGAAUGCCAAAUCCCACACGACAUCCACUCAUGUACUGCAUUUGAAAUUAGCUUCGAUUCUUAACUUUGUUAAACCCUUAGUACCUAUUUUUUUUUGGUUUUCUUCUGUCAACUUGAACUUGGGUCACAAUUUUGUUAGGUUGAAAUUUGCUGACAGCCAUUUUGAUUUCAGAUUUUUUAAAAAUAAAUUAAAGUUUAUGCAAUACAGUAGAAAUUUUAAGAAAUAAAUAAUGGUUAUAUUAUAUCAGAAACAAAGUGUUAUAAGUUAUUCAGUAAUAUCAUGUUAAAGAAUACAACUAUUGAGUCAAAAUAAAAUUAUGUAUAGAACUGCAAAAUAAAAUGUUAUUGAUGCCUA